CCCUCAGCAGUGCCAACCGCCCCUCCGCGCCGCUGCCCCUGGGUCCGGCACCCGCCCUUUCCCGGGUAAGGAUUUUUCCCCGCGUCCCGCCCCACAACUCCGGCGGCACAGAGGGUGGGCCGAGGAGGGGCACGCCCGGUUCGGUCCCGCCCGGGUCAGAAGGGUUCCGGAGGAGUCCUGCGCUGGCUUCCUUAGCCAUCUGCGGAGGCUUCUCCCCAGCUCGCUGCUGGGGGACGCUCGGUCCUCGGAGCCCGCGGGCGUGCGCCGCGCUUCUGCUCCAACUUUCAGUCGGAGGACAGCAGAGGGGCUCUGGAGGCCACGGUAGAUAUAAACCAGAGCAUCCAUAGAAGAGACAACUGAGAAACAAUGGAUCAGAACAGAGGGGCAGAGAGCUGGACCUUCUUCCAACAUGAUGCAGAGCUGUUCCCAUGACAGGAGAGAUGGAGCAGCCUUGCCUCUUCCCACCAACCAGUCAGCUUCUUCCACCAGCAUGACUUUUCUUACCUCAUGGUCUGUGUACACAAAGGCCCCACAGUGAUCUGGUGGCAGCUGCACCUUCUAGUUCCACGGAACACCUACUGCACUUGCUGGGCAGACAUAGGAGGAAGUCGGGGCUGCAGACUGAUACAAGCAUGCUGAGACCCAGGAGUGUUAGCAGGGGGCAUCUCUUCCGGCCACAUGUCAGCGUCCUCUGUCCUGCUCAAGAUCAGGACCAGAUGAAGCGUUUACUUCUAACAAAGAGUGUUGCUGGGCCCAUCUGAUCUGGACACUCUGCAACUUUGAUGAAGCCCAGCUGACAUGGGAAGUCCCAGACACAUAGAUAGUCACCUCUUUCUGGUGGUUAUGUGCUCCAUAUCUCCCCGGGCCCAAUACAAGCUAUGUCUUUACAACUGUCAGUGUGCUGCUUAGGCAACGUGGCUUUGUCUAGAAUCCCAAGGGUGCAUGUUCUGAGUAUCCCACAGAGACUUCCAUAAGCUUUGUGCUGCAACUUUAUCCCCCCGACACCUGCUGCUCUACAGAGUCAGCCUGGUGCUUUCUCUCUGCCCACCAGCACUGAUUGCACCCAACCCUGGCAUACCUGCAGUGCCCUCUCCUGUCAGCCCUACCUGGUGCUGGCAGCUCUGCAUGUCACAAGGCAUGUGAGCUAGAGCAAUACUCCCGAGUGUGAAAUGCAUUUCCCAUGGACCCCAAGAACCCCGCUAGACGAUGUGCUCUUCAUCUACUGGGUUAGAAAUGUGCUGUCAGUGCAGAGAAGGUGUCCUGCAAGCCCGUGACAUCACUAAAGUGGGUCCCCACAUCUUCACAUCUGCUGGGGCAGAGAGGUCUCCUCAAGGAUCCAGUACCCAAUGUAUCUUUUGCUCACCCUGUCCAGCUGCAAUGAUGCUGUCAGGGCAAUGGGUUAAUGACUGGCAGACACAAGGGUCCAGAUAUCCAUGGUUUAUGGAGCCUACUGACUGGGGCCAAGACCACGCUGUAUGUGAGUGGAUAUGGUUGUUUAUCUCACCCAAAUAUUUAUGUGUGUGUUCAUAUGCAUGUGCAGCCAUGUGUGUAUUUUAACCAUCAUGUAAAAUCGACUGAAGAUGUAACAUCUGACACAGCAGGAGAAUCCCUGCUUCCUUGGGGACUUGUAGCUUUACCUCUCUGUGUUGCCACGCUGCUUCCCAAACUGGUUGUACCAUUGGGCAAGUUGCAUCUGAGGUCAGAAGGCCUCUCAGCUUUCUGAAGCAAGAGGCCAUCCCAGAAACUUGUCCUUGUUCAACUCAUUUAGGGGUGACAUAGUCCUGGCUUGAUUUCACAGCCUCACAGUUGGUAUUUUGUUUUGCAGAGAAAUCCUCCUCUUUAUGGCUCACCAUUUAAUUUCCCUGCUGUCAAGAGCCAGAAUUAAGUUAUUCCUCUUUUUAAAAGAAUGAUAUAAGCAGGGAAUAAUGAAUGCAAAAUGCUGUAGUUAAACAUCAGCAGACAAACUGAUGGAUCGGCUGUCACUUAGAUUAUGCUAUAAAUGGAAAGAAAGUGAUAUUUAAUCAUUUGCAAAAAAUAAAAACAGUGGU
This is a long non-coding RNA of Chinchilla lanigera (long-tailed chinchilla), 2048 nucleotides long. RefSeq lists it as uncharacterized. The transcript has 3 exons. The record is from RefSeq and is a predicted model, not a curated record. NCBI's taxonomy places the organism in Eukaryota, Metazoa, Chordata, Mammalia, Rodentia, Chinchillidae.